RNAcentral lists this transfer RNA (63 nucleotides) under Platygaster sp. ZJUH_2016026. RNAcentral's name for it is "tRNA-Glu". The record is from RNAcentral. Lineage: Eukaryota; Metazoa; Arthropoda; Insecta; Hymenoptera; Platygastridae.
AUUUAUAUAGUUUAAAUUAAAACAUUAUUUUUUCAAAAUAAAAUUAAAUAAAAUUUAUAAAUU